CUUGUACUCCCCCCGUCUCAAAAUUCUUGUCUUAAAUUCAUCUAGAUACGAAUGUAUAUAAUAUUAAAAGGUGACUUGAUACAUCCAUAUUUAGAUAAAUCUAAAACAAGAAUUUUGGAACGAAGGGAAUAGUAC
This is a non-coding RNA of Triticum aestivum (bread wheat), 135 nucleotides long. The record is from Rfam. NCBI's taxonomy places the organism in Eukaryota, Viridiplantae, Streptophyta, Magnoliopsida, Poales, Poaceae.